RNAcentral lists this ribosomal RNA (253 nucleotides) under uncultured bacterium. Its description in RNAcentral is "partial 16S ribosomal RNA". It matches the Rfam family "Bacterial small subunit ribosomal RNA", at positions 524 to 776 of the family's 1533-position model. The record is from RNAcentral.
UACAGAGGUGUCAAGCGUUGUUCGGAUUCAUUGGGCGUAAAGGGUGCGUAGGUGGUUGGGUAAGUCAAAUGUGAAAGCCCGGAGCUCAACUCCGGAACUGCAUUCGAUACUGCCCGGCUCGAGGAUUGGAGAGGAGACUGGAAUUCACGGUGUAGCGGUGAAAUGCGUAGAGAUCGUGAGGAACACCCGUGGCGAAGGCGGGUCUCUGGACAAUUCCUGACACUGAGGCACGAAGGCCAGGGGAGCAAACGGG